GAUGAACGCUGGCGGCGUGCCUAAUACAUGCAAGUCGAGCGAACAGACGCGGAGCUUGCUCCUCUGACGUUAGCGGCGGACGGGUGAGUAACACGUGGAUAACCUCCCUAUAAGACUGGGAUAACUUCGGGAAACCGGAGCUAAUACCGGAUAAUAUAUUGAACCGCAUGGUUCAAUAGUGAAAGACGGUUUUGCUGUCACUUAUCGAUGGAUCCGCGCCGCAUUAGCUAGUUGGUAAGGUAACGGCUUACCAAGGCAACGAUGCGUAGCCGACCUGAGAGGGUGGUCGGCCACACUGGAACUGAGACACGGUCCAGACUCCUACGGGAGGCAGCAGUAGGGAAUCUUCCGCAAAGGGCGAAAGCCUGACGGAGCAACGCCGCGGGAGUGAUGAAGGUCUUCGGAUCGUAAAACUCUGUUAUUAGGGAAGAACAAAUGUGUAAGUAACUAUGCACGUCUUGACGGUACCUAAUCAGAAAGCCACGGCUAACUACGUG
Molecule: ribosomal RNA, 497 nt
Filed under: uncultured bacterium
Lineage: Bacteria
Description: partial 16S ribosomal RNA
Rfam family: Bacterial small subunit ribosomal RNA
Source: RNAcentral